This 506-nucleotide ribosomal RNA is filed under the name uncultured bacterium. RNAcentral describes it as "partial 16S ribosomal RNA". It matches the Rfam family "Bacterial small subunit ribosomal RNA", at positions 29 to 523 of the family's 1533-position model. The record is from RNAcentral.
AGUGAACGCUGGCGGUAGGCCUAACACAUGCAAGUCGAACGGCAGCACAGGAGAGCUUGCUCUCUGGGUGGCGAGUAGCGGACGGGUGAGGAAUACAUCGGAAUCUACUCUGUCGUGGGGGAUAACGUAGGGAAACUUACGCUAAUACCGUAUACGACCUACGGGUGAAAGCAGGGGACCUUCGGGCCUUGCGCGAUUGAAUGAGCCGAUGUCGGAUUAGCUAGUUGGCGGGGUAAAGGCCCACCAAGGCGACGAUCCGUAGCUGGUCUGAGAGGAUGAUCAGCCACACUGGAACUGAGACACGGUCCAGACUCCUACGGGAGGCAGCAGUGGGGGAUAUUGGACAAUGGGCGCAAGCCUGAUCCAGCCAUACCGCGUGGGUGAAGAAGGCCUUCGGGUUGUAAAGCCCUUUUGUUGGGAAAGAAAUCCAGCUGGCUAAUACCCGGUUGGGAUGACGGUACCCAAAGAAUAAGCACCGGCUAACUUCGUGCCAGCCGCCGCCGUAA